This 273-nucleotide ribosomal RNA is filed under the name uncultured Faecalibacterium sp. RNAcentral's name for it is "partial 16S ribosomal RNA". It matches the Rfam family "Bacterial small subunit ribosomal RNA", at positions 69 to 339 of the family's 1533-position model. Lineage: Bacteria; Bacillati; Bacillota; Clostridia; Eubacteriales; Oscillospiraceae. The record is from RNAcentral.
AGAGAAGGAGCUUGCUUCUUCGAUCGAGUGGCGAACGGGUGAGUAACGCGUGAGGAACCUGCCUCAAAGAGGGGGACAACAGUUGGAAACGACUGCUAAUACCGCAUAAGCCCACGGGUCGGCAUCGAGCAGAGGGAAAAGGAGCAAUCCGCUUUGAGAUGGCCUCGCGUCUGAUUAGCUGGUUGGCGGGGUAACGGCCCACCAAGGCGACGAUCAGUAGCCGGACUGAGAGGUUGAACGGCCACAUUGGGACUGAGAUACGGCCCAGACUCC